UUUCUAAUAAAUACAGAAAUUAAUAAAAUAUAAAUUGAAGUAAAAAAGAUCUUAGGGCCGAAAGGCAUUAGUAGUUAGUGUUAUAGUUUAACUUAGAUUGUCCGUACGGGACCAUUAAGUUAGUUGUAAGUUAUGGAAAAUUAGGCUAGCUUUAAGAUAGGUUUAAGAAUGAACUAAAAAGUUAAAAAAAACAAAAAAAAGCUUUGGUUCCCAUCGAUCACCGAAAACAGAUUACGGGACCAUCUCGAAACCUACCGCGUGCUGUUGUCAUGUGUUCUUUCUAUCUGUUCUUUCUCUUCUGUCCUUGUCUUGUAUUAAUGUCUUGUGUUGUUAUCACCUUACUUAGUCUAGUCAGAGAGAAAAAACUAGUUUAGUUUUUUUUUCUCUGACUUAAAGUGCCUGUUCCUGCACUACCUUUAGCUUCUUUCGUAUGAUAUUAGGGUCAGAGAUGGUGAAACGAAACCCAGGUCAACAUGUGUGAACGUUUUAUGUGUUGAAAAAUGUGUCGGGCAACCGUCAUUUAAUGUCACAGGACUGAAAUUCUAUUGGACUUUUAAAUAUGGUUUGUUGGGGCUUUGGGGCUUUAUUUUUGACAAACAUAAAACAGAAAAUUAAAGUAAAAAUGACAAUUUUUUCCUUACUUUAGAACAAUCUUCAACAGGAACAUGGAAACUGAUGAUACAUGUAAAUAUUACAUCAAUACCAAAGUAAAUCGCCUAACAUUUUUAUAAUUUUUAGUGACAACGAAAUUUAACGUUUCUUUUCGCCAAUUUAUACCACAACCUAUUACCUCAACCCACAUCGAAGAGAAUGUGUGUCCUGAAGUGUCUUGACUAUCAUUCUCUUCAUAGAUGCCCGCAGGACGAUGCAAAUUUUUGUGUUUCGCUGCUCAUUUUUUUCCCUUGGUAGACGGUACAGGAUAGUAAAUAAGUCCUAGUAAUAGUUGCAUUAAGUCUUUUAUUAUUUCACUUAAGCAUAGUUUAAUAGUUUUAAUACAAAAAAUCAAUGUAAAAUAAUUUAAGAAAUUAAUAAAAUAAUAAGGCGGAGCAGAGCUCCUUCGGUUCAGUAGGGCUGUGUCCGAACGGGACCGAACUGAUAGGGUGAAUCAGGAGAACCAGUUUUGGUGGCUUCAAUCGGCACUUGAUAGUGGAUAGUCGGGAUGGGGUUUUAAGCCUUGGCCGGAUUACAUACUUGUUUUAUAGUUUUAGAUUUAAGUUUUAAGUAGAAUAGGCAUGGUGGCGCAAAAAGAAA
Long non-coding RNA from Eupeodes corollae, 1251 nucleotides. RefSeq lists it as uncharacterized. NCBI's taxonomy places the organism in Eukaryota, Metazoa, Arthropoda, Insecta, Diptera, Syrphidae. The record is from RefSeq and is a predicted model, not a curated record. The transcript is spliced from 2 exons.